This is a long non-coding RNA of Gallus gallus (chicken), 803 nucleotides long. NCBI's taxonomy places the organism in Eukaryota, Metazoa, Chordata, Aves, Galliformes, Phasianidae. The record is from Ensembl.
GGGAACAGAUAUAAGGGUGCAGGUCAUCUGACUCGCUGCUCACUUCUCAUCUCUCCGUGUUCCCUGUUGGAUCAGCUCGCUACUGCUGCGCCCGACUGCACACAAGGCUUCAGUAUUAGUACUUCCAAGUUAAAGUUGUAAACAGCCUGUGGAAUUGGAAAUAUCUUCACAUGCAUUUGAAGACUGUGUUUCUAUUUCAUGACCUCUGUUUCCUGCUGGCCCCUGAUCAUUCUGUUCUGAACUGUUUUCUGACCAGCUAUUCAAGAGCUAAAGGGGAAUGAAUGAUAUUCUUGUGAUCAUUUAUAUUACAUGAAAAUACUUUAAUGCGUACUACGUAAAAGACAUAUUAAACUCCUCAGGCACUUUCUUCAUACAAAUUUGAGUACUUUCAAGAAUGUACUUUAUCUUUUUUGUCAGCCCAAAGUACAUGAAGUACCCUAUUUCAGGAAACAGCCCCAGUUCCAGAAUUCUUAUUAGCAAUUCACCGUUACCUUAUGAACGCUACCUUUUAUGCUACUUACUGGAAGAACUCGUAAAUACAGGAAAGGACAACUGUGUGGAAGGGCAAAUUCAUCAAGGCCAAAACUAGGGUUUGGAAGAAGUCAUGCAACCAAUGCAUCUGAUUGGAAUUCAGCCUGUUAAGGUGCCUGGUCAUUCAUGUGUUAGAUAAAGAUGGAAAUAGACUCCCAUAGGACACCCAUCUCAGCACAAGCCAUCUUGGAUGGACAGGGACUUCCAGAUGUUUUCCAAGCAAGUGAACAAGUCUUCCUGUCUCACCAGUCUUCUGUAAAAGCAGCCAAUAU